AUGACGGAGGCGUCGAUGACAACCUCAAAGGCGAGAGUGCCGCACAAUCUCGGUGUGGUCAUUACUAUAUGGGCACCAAUUGUUUUGGUGUACUUUAUGGACACACAAAUAUGGUAUGCUAUUUUCUCCACUGUCUUUGGGGGUGUUUCGGGUGCCCUUAGUCAUGUCGGUGAGAUACGUACCCUAGGCAUGUUGAGAGUCAGAUUCAAAUCAAUGCCAGAUGCUUUCAGGAAAUGUCACGUGGCAGCACAUAAAGAGCAAGCACUUGAUGUGAGGAGCUUCUUUUGUGUUUGGAAUUCAUUCAUCAAUUCCUUACGAGAGGAAGACUUCAUUAGUGAUAGAGAGAAGGACAUGUUGAUGGCUCCAUCGUCUUCAAGUAAUUUACCUAUUGUUCCGUGGCCUCCUUUCCUCCUUGCUAGCAAGGUACCAACAGCUCUCCAUAUGGCCAUGACUUCCAAAGAGGGGGAUGAACAUGAGCUGAUCGAAAAAAUCAAACUAGACAAGGACAGAUACAAUGCAGUUAUAGAAUGCUACGAGUCCUUGAAAAUAAUAGUUGUUUGUCUUCUGCUAGACUAUAAUGAUAAAAGAAUUGUCCAUGAUAUCGAUAAAAUAGUGCGAACUAGUAUGCAAAAUAACACACUUUUGGACGACCUCGAGAUGGCAGAGAUUGGUAAAGUCAGCAACACAUUGGCAAAAUUAUUACAGCUACUGUGUUUUGACUCCAUAUUACAAUGA
This 735-nucleotide ribosomal RNA is filed under the name Triticum aestivum (bread wheat). Its description in RNAcentral is "partial small subunit ribosomal RNA". The record is from RNAcentral. Lineage: Eukaryota; Viridiplantae; Streptophyta; Magnoliopsida; Poales; Poaceae.